CUUGGUCAUUUAGAGGAAGUAAAAGUCGUAACAAGGUUUCCGUAGGUGAACCUGCGGAAGGAUCAUUAACAAAUCAAAUGGUGUUGGGGGUAAAACUCUGACAAACAUUAACCCGAGCCUGUGCAGCAAUGCCGGGCAAGGUGUAGGGAGAGUGAGCUUGCUUUCUCUCCCUGCGGUGACGGAUUGGACGCCUCACGGUGUCUAGUCUCGAUCCACAUAGACGCUUUUUUUGUUUGACAGUAUCAGUUGACACUUUAAAAAUGACAACUUUUAGCAAUGGAUCUCUUGGCUCUUGCAACGAUGAAGAACGCAGUGAAAUGCGAAACGUAAUGCGAUUUGCACGAAUCUGUGAGUCAUCAAGUCUUUGAACGCACCUUGCACCAUAUGAGCAAUUGUAUGGUAUACCUGUUUGAGAAUCGUAAAACAACCAUCAUCCCUUCUGGGGUGGAAUUGUCGGAUUCACACGUCAUGUGUUCGAUCAAAUGAAUUAGGUUUGGAUCAGGCUAGUGGCCUGAGACACUGUGUGCUAGAGACUUAAGAAGCCUUUGCGGGCUGAUUGUCUUCUCAUGGUGCGUCUCAGGUCAAUUUAAAGCUAGCCUGCAAAGGACCUUUAACUGCGCUAGAGUUCUUCUCUAGGCAACCCCCCAAAUCAUUGAUCUCAAAUCAGGUAAGGCUACCCGCUGAACUUAAGCAUAUCAAUAAGCGGAGGA
This 710-nucleotide ribosomal RNA is filed under the name uncultured Basidiomycota. RNAcentral's name for it is "eukaryotic LSU rRNA". The stretch from base 266 to 419 matches the Rfam family "5.8S ribosomal RNA". Lineage: Eukaryota; Fungi; Basidiomycota. The record is from RNAcentral.